UNUGGCUUAACUGGGGGCGUGCGGUGGGUACGGGCUGACUNGAGUGCGGUAGGGGAGACUGGAACUCCUGGUGUAGCGGUGGAAUGCGCAGAUAUCAGGAAGAACACCGGUGGCGAAGGCGGGUCUCUGGGCCGUUACUGACGCUGAGGAGCGAAAGCGUGGGGAGCGAACAGGAUUAGAUACCCUGGUAGUCCACGCUGUAAACGUUGGGCACUAGGUGUGGGGGCCACCCGUGGUUUCUGCGCCGUAGCUAACGCUUUAAGUGCCCCGCCUGGGGAGUACGGCCGCAAGGCUAAAACUCAAAGGAAUUGACGGGGGCCCGCACAAGCGGCGGAGCAUGCGGAUUAAUUCGAUGCAACGCGAAGAACCUUACCAAGGCUUGACAUGCACGGCGGCACUGCAGAGAUGUGGUGGCAUUUAGUUGGUCGUGUGCAGGUGGUGCAUGGUUGUCGUCAGCUCGUGUCGUGAGAUGUUGGGUUAAGUCCCGCAACGAGCGCAACCCUUGCCCUAUGUUGCCAGCACGUGAUGGUGGGGACUCGUGGGGGACUGCCGGGGUUAACUCGGAGGAAGGUGGGGAUGACGUCAAAUCAUCAUGCCCCUUAUGUCUUGGGCUUCACGCAUGCUACAAUGGUUGGUACAGAGGGUUGCGAUAUCGUGAGGUGGAGCGAAUCCCUUAAAGCCAGUCUCAGUUCGGAUUGGGGUCUGCAACUCGACCCCAUGAAGGUGAAGUCGCUAGUAAUCGCAGAUCAGCAAUGCUGCGGUGAAUACGUUCCCGGGCCUUGUACACAC
RNAcentral lists this ribosomal RNA (789 nucleotides) under uncultured bacterium. Its description in RNAcentral is "bacterial SSU rRNA". It matches the Rfam family "Bacterial small subunit ribosomal RNA", at positions 603 to 1390 of the family's 1533-position model. The record is from RNAcentral.